UACGUAGGGCGCGAGCGUUGUCCGGAUUUAUUGGGCGUAAAGAGCUCGUAGGCGGUUUGUCGCGUCGUCCGUGAAAACUCACAGCUUAACUGUGAGCUUGCGGUCGAUACGGGCAGGCUAGAGUUCGGUAGGGGAGACUGGAAUUCCUGGUGUAGCGGUGAAAUGCGCAGAUAUCAGGAGGAACACCAAUAGCGAAGGCAGCUCGCUGGGACGUUACUGACACUGAGGCGCGAAAGCGUGGGGAGCGAACAGG
RNAcentral lists this ribosomal RNA (253 nucleotides) under uncultured bacterium. RNAcentral describes it as "partial 16S ribosomal RNA". It matches the Rfam family "Bacterial small subunit ribosomal RNA", at positions 524 to 776 of the family's 1533-position model. The record is from RNAcentral.